GAGAGAGAGAGAGAGAGAGAGAACAACCCUAGAAAAAUUUGGGCUGAAAAGGGUUUGUAGAAGAGGACAGUUGGAGAGACCCUUCUGCAAUCCCUUCAUACAGUGAGAGUAUCUCAGUUGACUUGAAGUGGGGGUGAGGUUACUCUUACAUCCUACUCUCUCCAUCAAUUCCUCAUGUAACACCAGAAGCGCCAUCUUCUUGCUGUUUGCAACCCUUCAGAGACAGGCAUCUAACUACCUUCUAAAGCAGUGUAUCCUGUUGUCACAAAGCUUGAAGUGGCGGUAUCUAGGACCAGAGACCUCAUACCUCAGUAACAGGAUCACAGGCUUCCAGCAUACCCUGUGCUUGCUGUUUUGAUUAUCACACUGUGCAUUAGGCUCUGCCAGUAAGUAAUGCAGACUCUGAAAUGUGCAUCAAUAAGGAAGGCAGACUGUGUGUCUAGAAAAAGCACAAAUAAAGCAGUCGUGCCACGGUCUUCACAGUUUACUACCUGGGGAAAGCAAUCCUGUGCAUGUACCUGGUGGGCUAAGAGGAAGGUUGCCUAGAGAAAAAUUAGAUGAUAUCUGGGAAAGCAUUUGGAAGAACUUGAGCUUGCCUUCACAUAAACAACAUGUCGUAUUAGUCAGAGUAGCAACAGUGAGAGCCAUAGCAGGACCAUGAAGGUAGACUGGAGGGAAAGAGGCAUCAGGCUACUAAGAAACUGGGAGAAAAGUGGGGGACAUACAUUUGGGGAGGCAGGGGAGCAUGGGACCCAGAGGGUCUGUCUGGAAGGUCAGAGCCUCUCAGUCAGAGAGCAAACAUUCUGAAAACCACCGUCCUGCUCAUAAUAAUGCUACCCCAGUCACCAAACACCUUCUGCUAUGUUAGGUAAAUCUGGGCAUCACCCUUAAUUUUGUCCCCCCUCUGCUCCCUCCCCAUCUGUUGCCAAGGCUCUAAAGCCUUUCUCUUAAACCCGAGGAGGCUCUAUGAAGUGAACAUUGCUCACAAUUUUUUUAAUUAAAAUGAACUAAGAGGCUUUUAACAGGUAAAGUGAUGCGAAGCCUUCGCUGUGAAGGUCUCUCUGUGUCACUGGGCAUCAUUUACCAAUUCAAGGGAAGAUGUCCUUCUCAACAAAUGAGGCGUUAAGACUCAAUUUCUGGAUCAUUGGUGGCACCAGGAAUGAACUAAAAGGGAGACAUAUCCUUUGUUGUAAGGACCCUGUCUUCCCGCACCUUUGAAGGACAGCUACCCCUCAAGAUAGAUCCUCUACCCUUUUAACUCCAUUCAUCUGGUUCUUGAUGCCACGAUGAAGCCACCAAGCAUGAUGCAUCAACUGGUUUUAGUCUUGGGCAACAAUGAAGCCACCCUGAAUCUCCCUUUACAAGGUAGAAGUGGACGUGGGAGGUAGCAUAUUCAUACAGGGGGCAGGAAUCUGGUGAGGGCUUUCUCUUAGAGUGUGUGUGUGUGUGUGUGUGUGUGUGUGUGUGUGUGUGUGUGUGUGUUUGUGUGUGUGUGUGUGUUUGAAUAUGCUUGUCGGAAUUUGUGCAUGCCCACGUGUGUGUGUGUGUGUUUGUGUAUGUCCACAUUCAUAUGUUUCUGCGUGCUUGUAUAUAGUUUUGUUUGUGUGUAUGUAUAUGUUUAUAUUGCCUCCAUAUGCCUGUGAAUGUGCCCGAAGCAGAAACCAGGCAACUAAACUAUUGCUUGUCACCUCCCUCACCCCCUGAGAUCUAAACCUGGAAACUAGGAAACAGUAUGACCCCCCACGUCAUAGAAAUCAUUGUUGUGAAGACUGUGCAGAAUUCAGGGCACACUGUUCAUUUUCUGGGACCAGGAGGGCUCAUGGUUUGCCCACAGACCUUUGAUGUCUGACAGCCUUUUGUCUCCAGUGCUGAUCACAGCAGCCAAGCCCAGUGUCAUUUCCCUCCUGGAACAGCUCCUUUAAGUGAGCUUGGAGCCUCUGCUGCCCUCCUAGACAUGUCGGGUGUCUGCAUUAGUCUACCUGCGAGUCUAUGUGUAUUUCUGGAAUCCAAAUUCAAAUGUCAGCUUUCCUAAGCAAAUCAGUGUGUGUGGCCCAUGUUGAGUUGUGAAAUUCUGUUUGUGGCCAUUAUGAUUGUGUUUGACAUGGGCUCAGUAGGCGAUGCACUUUUUGAGCAAGCCUAAUGACUGGAGUUCUAUCCUGGAAAGCCACAAAGGAGGGAGAGAAUGGACUCUACAGAAUUGUCCUCUGACAUCCCUAAAACACUAUCUAGCCGUGAAAGGCACUGGGUGGUUGAGCUAGCAGCUUGUUCCCCACUGGAGUCUUCCCACAAACCCCUGCCCUCUCAGUUCCAAACUGCUUCCUCCCUCACAUCAACAGAGCACUUCCUCCCAGUUCUCCACAGGCUGCAGGCUACCCCUUCCUGCUCAGUCCUGGUCUGAGACGACAUCUAUGACCACAAGAUAAUGAGAGCUUAAAGCUUAAAAAUCAGAAGUAAUCUAUCUGGGGCCAGCUGAAUUUUCCUGGUUGCCAUGCAGGCAUCUACCUAAAACUGGUGCUUUUCCAUGACUGGGCACUUAUUUUAUAUGUCCAUGAGACAGUGGCUGUUCAUCUGAGAUUGGGGGAAUGAAAGAGACUCUACUCUUUUCUGGGGCUACAACAUUUUAGGUCCCUGCAUUUCAUAUAUGUGUGUAUGGAGGGUGAAGUGUGAAACAGAAAUAAGCUUUGGAAUAAAACCCAGGCCCCAGGCUUUCCUCUAUAGCAGCGGUUCUCAACCCAUGGGCCUCAACACCUUUUGGGGCUGAACUACCCUUUCACCUAAGACCAUCCUGCAUGACAGAUAUUUACAUUAUAAUUCGUAACAGUGGUAGAAUUAUACUUGUAAAGUAGCAAAUUAAAGGGGGUGCGGCAUUAGGAAGGUUGAGAAUCACUGCUCUGUAGGAAGGCUCAGUCUCUCUGGACACGGUGUGGGUAGCUGCCUUUUGUGAGAACAGCAUGAAAUACUGUGUGUUCAUAUCCAGUGCAACACUUACAUAUAAUAGGUGCUCAAUAAUGGCAAGUUUUAAUUAUGAUUUAUGAGUGCCCCUGAGAUGUGAGGUGCUAGGUGAGGUAUGACAUCUAUAAAAAUUUAUUCUACAUUUGGGCCCAGAAUUCAGACUCUUAAUCACCAUGACAAUGGCUCUAAGCCCUAGCUGACUCCAAAAACUGUCCAGAGCCUUGACUUCUCCCUAAUUACAGACUUCAGACAUUAAAAGAUUCUGAUCUAAUGAUUUGGGACAGGACCUAGAAAUCUGUAUUUUGUACAAUCUGCACAAAUGAACCCAGUGGUCAAGCAGGGAUGAGAAAGGUUACAGAGCCACCUGUAUUCACCUAUAAAGUCAGACAUUUUUAAAGAUAGGAUGAUAACAAAGUCACUGGCAGGGCUGGAGAAGUGACUCAACAGUUAUGAGUACUUAUUGCUCUUGCAGAAGAACUGGGUUCUGUUCCCAGUACCCACGUGGUGGCUCACAACCAUCGGUAAUGGUAACUCCAGUUCUGGGGAUCCAACACCAUCUUCUGGCCCCUGAGGGCACCAGGCCCUUAAGUGGUAAAAAGACAUACAUUCAGACAAAGCACUCAUACACAUAAAGUAAAAUAAAUAAAUAUAAAAAAUUUUACCAGUACAUGGUUGAUGAUAUAAAGAGGUUUCCAAGGGCCACAAUGUAUCACAUGAGUGAAAGACAGGUGAGUGCCUUUGCAAAGAUUCCAGGUCUCUCUUAGGCAUUUUUCGUGCAGCUCUGCUGGGAAGUACAGCACCGAGGCUGUCUUAGAACUUGAAGGCCAGAUCUUAGAUGCACUUAGAGGUAGGAUAACAUCAUCCAUGACCCUUAGGGUUGAGAUUGAGAAAUACACAUCCACACCCAGAAUCCAAAUUAAGUCAACAGCAAACAGAUUUGGUAGGAAAUGCUUUGGUGUCAAGAAGGAUAACAUGCAGGGCAGAGGACUUGUCCUAAAUUGGGAGAUGUUAUAACUGAUGAUCAUGAGAACUAAGGGUUGAAAGACCAGCAUUUAUCUUUUUACAACUCCUUAGCAAAAAAAUGGAAGUUAUUAAUUAGUUGUCAAGGCUGAAGAUAAGGCUCCAAGGACUGAGAAUUUAGGCAAGUGAAUAAUCCCAAGUUUAGAUUUUAUGGAACUGGGGAGUCAUAGUGUCCCUUGGGAGUACCCAGCUGAGAGGUAAUUUCACCAAGGGACAGAAGACAGGCACAGUCUCUCUAUUAAGAAACAGACCUGCUGGUAAGUUCAGCCACUUCCUCCUGACAGCAGCUCUUGUGGUUCUGAGGGAUUUGGGAGCUGGAAUCGGCCCUAGUCAGAGUUGUGUUUACUGGAGGAUGGGGAGGGAAGAAGAGAAGCAAGAUCGAUGGCAAGUUUGCAUAGUGAUUCAAGGCCGUGCCAAAGACUAAAGAUUCUUGGGAACUGGGCAGUCUGAACAUGGAGGAACGAAUUCAAAAACAAUGCUUAUAUCAAAAAAAUUUCAUGAGCAUAUCAGCACCAAAAGAGUAAAGGUUUUAUAUUUUCAAGUCAUCAGUUCCCACCAGCAUGACCCAGACAUAAACAACAGAGCACCAUGCUUGUCUAUUCAGAGUCCUUGUCAACCACUUCAUCGGGGAAGAGACAGCACGGGGAGAGAAGCAAUAGCUGCCAGAUGUUUGCUCUGCACCAACUAUGGUAAUAAUGCCCUUGAUUCCAAAUCUUGUUGUACCUCUAGGUUACCUGUGAAGCUGUAAGCAAAUUUAAAAGACUCUUUACAGUGUAUGGAGCUAGGACGUAGACAUGGGCAGUUUUAGAAGAGUUCUAGAUGAUUCCACAGGGUGGCUAACUUAGGAAACAACUGACUUCACACCUUACUCUUUUAAUAUAAAGAACAAUCCUGUGAAGCAGGCAUAAAAAAACAUAAAAGCCUUGUUUUACAGAUGAAGUGACCUGGACUGUAAGAAAAUAGUCAUUUGUCCAAGGCUGGCCAACAGUUAGGCACUCAGCUCUGGACGAAGCGCUGCAGUGUGAUCAGAUGCUCAUGCCUAAUUCAUGGUGUGUUGGUUGGCUCAGUCUGCCAUAACAAGAGAUCACAGGCUAGAUGGGAGGCAGCGGGAAGUUAUUUCUCACAGUACUAGAGGCUGAAAAUCCAGACCAAGAUCUGACAGCCCAGCUUUCCGUUAGGGCUCUCAUCCUAGCUUCUAGAUUGCUGCCUUCUUACUGUGUCCCCAUGAUGGGAGGAAAAACAAGGAAGAGACAUUAGGAGAACAAAGAAAGAACGAUAGGGGAGGGGAAAGGAGAGAGAUAAAGAGAGGGAAGGAGAAUUCUAAUUUGCCUUUUCAGAAGGAGAAUCAUCAGAACAAAGCCUUGUCCUUGCAAACACAAUUAACAUUAUUGCCUCUUUAUGGUCUGUGUCUCCAAACACAGUCACACUGGGUGCUAGGUCUUCACUGUAAUCUUUUGGGUGAGAUAAGACUCAGUUUGUAGCAUAUGGAGUCUGGAUACUAUUGACUGUGUAGUAGGUAACUGGUAGCUACUUUGACUUAUAAGAAUAUACUCAUAUCACACAACAGUGGAUCGGCCCAUACAAGUUAUCUCCACCCAGAUGAAGAAAGGAUAAGGCAGGCUGAAAACUCUAGUUGUGUAGCAGAAAUUCAGGCUCAGAUGCUAGAAUGCAUUUCCUGAAAGAGACUGCUCAAGCAUAUUUAAACAAUAAAAAAAUUCCACAGAUUAUUUUAGCCUGUGCUUAUGAUAGGAGCUAACAAGAGUUUGAAUGAGAUGAAAUGAUUUUCAUGAAUCAAAAUACAUUCUUGGGAAGAUGGGGACAAUUUUAAGGAGCACUUUCACCUGUGUAAGACACUCUGAGAAUAAGAGAGAGGCACUUGGGCUCAUUCCAUGUGGAACUUGGCACUAUCCAGGCAUUCGGCACUCACAGAUUUCUCUUGCAUUUUUCCAAAAAUGAAGAAUAAUUCUUCAGGGAUCAAUGCCCCCUCAGCAGAAAGGAGUCACUGCCCAAAUUAGUUGUGGAGAUGGUAAGAGAAUGCCUCCUUACAGGAGUCCAAUGCCAGAGUAGAUGAAAAUACCUUUUUUUGGCAAUAAAACCAUUUUCAUUUUUACAAAUAAACAAGGGGAUGAAAAUUUAAAUAAAUAAAGGACAAACACAUACAUUAUGAUAACUGACCAUUAAAAUGGCUGAUUUAAAAAAAAAAAAAAAACAAGCAUCUGCUUCCCACCCCACUCAGGGACACACAUUGUUUUCUUACUCCUAGAUGAAAAUACUUUGAUUUCAUUUUUAGGUAGAACAAUAGAACCAUGAUCAUUAAGAAACAUAUCAAAUAUGACAGCCAAACCAGUAAAUAUAAUUUCAGAUUACAGCAAAGAGUGUCUGUCUUACGGAAGGGAAGUAAUGUUUAACAUGGAAACUGAAUCUUAACAAAUUAAGUAUGCCUAGUGUCGGAAAAGUUUACAAUAGAGAAUUAACAAAUAACAAGUAUUUUUCGAGAACAAUCCCUGGAAUUAGUAGAGAUUUGCUGUGAAUAAUUCUUGUACUUCAAAAACAAAGACAGAAGGAUAGUUCAAGAAAAUUCAAUAUAUCUAUUUGGCAAAUCAUUUGACAAUUAUUAGUGAUAUUGAGACAAAGAAAUAAGAAUUUGCUGGAAAUUUGGAUAUAUGAACUUUUUUUAAAAUUCCAAUAAAAUAUGUGUUCACUGGACCGAUAUUAACAAUGGGAAUGUCUCUAGUAAUCAUACUGAUAAUUGUAACAUAUUUCUUUACUGUAGAAGAAAACAGCCCCCAGAUGGAGUGGUACUUUUAGGAGGUGUUGCCUUGUUGGAGUAUGUGUGGUCUUAUUGCAGAAAGUAUGUCACUGUGGAGGUGGGCUUUGAAGUCUUAUAAAUGCUCAAGCCACAUCCAGUGUCUCUAACCAUUUCCUGUUGCUUCUGAGUCAAGAUUUAAGAACUCUCAGCUCCUUCUCUAGCACCAUGUCUAUCUACAUGCUGCCUUGCUUCCUGCUAUGUUGAUAAUGGACUAAACCUUUGGAAAUGUAAGCCACUCCAAUUAAAUGUUUUUGUCCUAUAAGAGUUGUUGUGGUCAUGCUCUUUACAGCAAUAGAAACUGGGACAUUUUCUGGCAUACUGUUUUCACUACACAUGCGCUUUUUAAGCAUCAAGUGUCCAUUGGACAGUUCCAUCUCAUUAGAUAUUUUUGGCACCAAGCAAACAUUUAUGGUGACAGAAAACUGGGAGGAACAAUGCUAUGUUGGAUUAAUUAUGCCACAGGGUAUUAGGAAGGGUCCAUGUGGCCUUCAAGCUUUUCUUACAGCCCUAGAAAUUCCUCCUCAAGAAAAUCUUUGGAAGAUAGAGUCAUUAUAGAAGAAGAGAGUUUCCACAACUGAUCAAAGUGAAAAGAAGAAGUGUCACUGGAGCACUCAGACACAAAUAGGACACAUACAUAUUCCCCUCCCAAAGGCUCAAGGAUCAUCUUGGAAGAAGAGACAGACAGAAUGUGAGAGCCAGAGGUCAGGAAGAGACAUGACAGGACCACUGCAUUCAUGAACUCACAGCAUCUGUGGGUACCUGCACAAGACCUAGGCUGCCAGCAUUCUAGCAUGGAGUAGGAAUGUGUUUACAAGCUCCUGCCAUUAACUGAAGAGCUAUGGGCAGCUGAAGACUUCUGGGAGAGGGAGAAUGUGUUCUCUUUAAGGGUGUGGUCCCUGGUAGGUCAAUCAUAUUCCAGUGCAUGUCUCCACACCCAGAAGUCUAAGUAGAGUACAAAUUGGAGAUGACAGUGUAUUAAGCAAAAGAGCACAUGAUGUUGGAAGGAAUAGGGAGGCAAAGUAGAUCUAGGGGGUUAAAGGGAAGGAUGGAAGGAAGUAAAUAUUAUCCAAACACAUUCUUAUACAAAAGUCUCAAAUAAUUGAUAAAAAUAAUUAAAAAAGAAGAGAGUUGGCUGAACUUAAAGUCUGAGUCACUGAAAAGGUUACAUCCAUGAAACUUGGAAGAUAAAGACAUCGUCAUUGCCAGCCCAAGGGUAGCCCUAGUCAACUGUUGACACAGUAGUGAUAGGCUAUAGUGAGUUGAGAUUCAUAGAUGAUAUGGGAGAAGAGAUCUGGUGGGGUGUGUGUAUCCCAUGUGAAUUUUCUCCAUGUUCUAUUGGGGAAGGCAGAAGAUGAAUGUUUCCAUAACAACUGGAAGGACAAGCCCUCCUUUAUAAUUAAGAGAAACAGACAUGUCAUCAUGCUACCUGGUUCCAUCCUCAGGCAGAGUUUCCCACCGUUCUUUGCUUCUAGAGAAGGGAUGCCCCUCAGUGUGCAAAUAGCCUUGCUUCUUUCUGUAGCACUCAUCCACAGGAAGGAGGAGUCGAGACUAGCUUCAGUUCAUCCUCCACUGUCUAAAGAGGGCAAGCAAUCACGACACAGGAGCCGUACUAAGACCCAGGACAGCACUGACCUCCAAAAGCUGGGAGCUGAGAAACAGCAGCCAGGUGAUAAUUCCAAGGAACCACUGAUGGAUCCUCAUCCCAAUGUACUGAGGUGGGGCAGCAGCUGCCUCUUGAAGAGUCAACAGCCUGAUGGGAAGGUGAGCCUGUCCUAGGCCACCUGCAUUUCCAUAUGCUCCCUCUGCUUUUUCCCCAGUGACAUGAUGACUCUCAGGGACCCACCCAUACAGUUCAGCCCUAAAUCUAUCCCAGAGGCUCGAUGAACAAAUGGGGACACUCUAGCAUAGUUUCUAAGCACUUGCUGGCUCUCCCAUUUUCUUUAGCUUCUUCUGACAUUUGAUGCAAAUACAGAGUCCUGGAAACCCUCUCUGACAUGACUACUAAAUCAGGAUUCCCAGAGGAUGAAGAAUAUGACUAUUUUACAAACUUCCUGAUAGGCACAUGGGAGUUUCUGAGCUAUGGGACUGUAGCAGGAUUUCCACUCAUACCUGGAUCAAGCUGGAUUCUGGAGCCAAUCAUCCUCACACUGCCUCAUGAAAACAUGGCUGUUUCUCCUACUGCACUUCGCUGAGGCCUCUUUUAUGACUAGGUCUUCCACAGAGCUCCCAUCAACGCGUCUGUCCACUAUCAGUGGCCACUAUCAGGCUCCGAGGAGAACUUGAGAAUAGUCAGACUUCGAUGGACAAGGCCCUCUCUGAAUCCUGAGAUGGCCUCGCGGUCCACAUUUCUGGCUGAAACAUGAAGGAAAAUGAAGACUGUUGCGAGCAGGCAGGAGAGAGAGGGCCCGGGCCUGGAAACAGCUCAGCAUCUUGCCCUUGUUACUAAUAAUCCUCCCAAAAUCACCAAAUGGUUUCUAGGCAUUAAAGUUAUCGUUUGCCAUAAACCCCUUGUCUGUUUUCUGGAGAGUUUAAUAUAUUGCAGGAAGUUUCACCCAUAAAAGGUGAUGGCUGUGCUCCUGUGAGUGAGGCAGGCGUCGGUAACUUAUGACCUUCAUAAAUGUGAGUGGGUCUCACGAGCGAGUCCAUCAGUCUUUGGAGUAAUUCUGCUUCGUAGUAAAAUAUUUUACUGUGCACACUCCUGUCAGCGUUUGCCUCAGUGAUGUCGAGACUUCCUCCUCUCUCUGCCUCUUGUUCGCUGCUCUUGCUCCGUUUUCAAUUAUCUCACUUCCAGGCUCCAGUCUGAGACCCCAAGAAUAAUCUUUGCUCUUUCAAAGCUGUGGUCCAGUUCGGGCUGAGCCCUCACUGGGGUUUGAAGAGCAGCAGAGCCAAUAUAGCGUUAUCUAUCACCGUGACGUUGGUGAUCUCCCCAUUCCAGAGGGAGAGGGCACCUGCAAAAAAAGCCAUCACUUCAGCCAGGGCAAGGCCUUCGAUAUCAAAGGGGACUGUGUCUGAGGGUGUUUCCCGGGCUAUAGAGUGUUCUAGAUGUGUCAGCCAUCUUUAUUACCUGGCUUGUAGCAUUAGCAUAGCAGUUAACCGUUCACUUUAUAGUCCCAGAGAUCUAAAUAGAAUUUAUCGGAGUCACCGGCUUAACAUUGGCCCAGAAAAGGACUAAAUGCUUUUCAGGCAUUUUGGAGUAGUAGGGAAAAAUCUGCUGUCAGCAAGUUCAAGUCUCUGCUCCACCUCCAGAUACUCCUGUGGUAUGGGUAAAUUAUUCACUUUCUGUAUACAGGCAUACCAUGAUUCUAUAAUAUUGCAUAUCAAUGUCACAGUAAUAUGCAAAUUCAAUAUAUUAUACCCAGCAAAGUCUAUAAUGCAUGCAUAGGUCCAAGAGGCACCUUGUACCCCAGAAACAAGCACAGUUAUUCUUGUCAAUUAAAGAUAAAAUUUGAAGUGUUAAAAAAUAAACCAGCACACCCCUCCCCCAUCCACCUCCCAGAAGUACUGGAAAUGUUUUCAUGGUAAGGAGUAAGGGAAUGAUGAAGACUUAAAGGGAGUAAAGCCACGUGAGAAAUGAGAAUUAAUAAAGGAUUCUCAGAACAAAGAAACAGCCGGGUCUAAGUAGAGCAUGUGUCUACUGCUCUCAACUGUUAGUGCUAUCUUGGGGGAAACAGGCAGCUCGGAGCUGCUGUGUGGCCAUGUUCAUGUCAGAGAGGCAAGGUGAGGGUGAAGUCAGGGAUGGUUUGUAUGCCCAGCAAACUACUAUUUUAAGAAAUGACUUGAAGUUCUUGGGGAUUCAGCUUAUUUUUUCAUUCAACAAAUAUGCGUUGAAUGUCUACUAUGUUCCAGGCAUGAUGUAAGUGUUUGAGAACAAGGCAAAGAUCUCUAUCCUUGAGGCCUUCAGCCUGAGGGAGGAAGUUGUCAGCUGGGGUAAGGAAUUCUUCAGUGUGGGGCCUAAGGUAGGAGAGGUUCUACCCUCUUGUUGGAUCUCCAGAACUAAGGGUCUAUAGACUCCGGGACUCUGUAAGUCCAUCACUCCUUCCUGUCACCUCCCUCCCAUUUCUGUCUCAUCAUAUUUGUAUUGUAGAAUGGGGUGUGCCUGUCCUGAUCUAUUAUUUAUGAUUUAAUAAAUUUGCCUGAGGAUUCAGAAAGCAAAGUCAGCCACAAGCUAUAGAGGUCAGGCAGAAACCAGAGUAACAGAUCACACACCUUUAAUCCCAUCACUAGAGGAGUAUAAAAGACAGAAGCAGCGGCGGCUUCGGUAUUGAGCAGGAGGCAUUCAUUCUCCAGCCACACUGAGGAGAGGUUACAGUCUGAGGCUUGGUGAGAGCUUGUGGAGACAGGAUCAGCCCAUUCGUCCUGAGAUAGAGGUAAGAAGCUAGUGGCCAGCUGCUUUGCUUUUCUGAUGUUCAGCUUGAAGUUUGAGCCCCAACAUCAGUCUCUGGGUCUUUUAUUUAUCUUGUUACAUGUGCCCUAAAGCAUUCCAGGGCAAAGCAAGCAGUCACUAGCAUAGCAUGACUUAGAAUUCACUUUCAGAUUUGCUUCUAAAGAACUUUUAACAAGUUUCUUAGAAGAUUUUGAGUUAAAGCAGGAAAAGAGUAAUGAAAAAAUGAAGGAAAGAAAAAUGAUAACAUAUAAGUGGCAGGGAAUUGUUCUGAAGAAAAAUUACUGUUCCAUGGAAUUUUAAAGACUUUCAGAACCCACCUAUCAUCUCUUCGGAACUUAGAGCUUGCCUCUUGGCAUGCCCCCAAAAGUCUGGUUGUUGGAAAAGCAAUCAUAUAUUCCAUAAUGUAUAAUUUGGCUAAGCAUUUGCUUGCACUGGUCAGCUACUGCUAUGUAAUGAGCACACAUUGUCAGUGGUGUCUACAAAUAAGCAUUUACUUUAUAAAUAAGCAUCACAUCCCAGGGCUCUGUGUGAGUUGGCUGAAACAGCUGGGCUCCAGUGGACAGUUCGAGGCAGUGGUUCCCUGGACCCCUCUCUGCUCUCUUCUCUGUCUCCUCUCAGCAUUCACAUUUCUAGAAACUCUUUUAAAUGAUACUCAGAAGCAUGCUCUAAAAAUUCAUGUUCAAUUCAGUCAUGUUGUUCACUGAAGGGACAAACUUCACAUUUGUCUAUUUUAGAACCUUGAUGUAAGGAUGAUGCAGCCACUGAAAGGGAUGGGGGGAAGGAAAAAGAAAGGGGAACAGAGGAAGGAGGAAAGCAAGAAGAAAAAGGAGAACAGAUGGACUGACAUCAUCAACAGCCCCAGGGAACUCACUAAAAUACAAUGUCUUAGUGAAUGGGAUUUCUGGGGAUAGUCUUGGAAAUGUGUGUUUUAAUGAUGCUGAAGUUGAAGGCAACUCAUUCUCAGAUCUCAUCCUCUGUGUAUGCAUCAGCUAGCCAGGAAUCAUCUCUAGACAGGAGUAGAGAGGGAGGACAGACACACAUGAUACCUUUGCGGGAUUAGGAGAGGAACCAGCAAGUGAUAGACAUUCCACCCAGAUUCCAUUGCCAAAGCAAGUCAUAUGACAAGGAUCAGGAAAGAAGAGAAAUCUGUAGACUUGAGACCAAGCAUUCAGCCAACCAGAGACUUAACCAAAUAUUUAAUACAGUGCACCGGGGCUUCCUUCUCACACAUCAUCACAUUUAAGUCUCACAGCAAAUUUGAGGUGGGUGUCUUCACUUACUAGUUGAAGGAAAAGAGCUGCCUGGGUGUUGAAGUCAGGCUCAUGUUGUUACUGAGAGCUGGCUUUCUAAAGUCUAAAGUUUUAUGUAUUCUACUGCACCUAGCCUAUGUAUUCUAUUGCAUCAGGGGCUAGCCUAUGUAUUCUAUUGCAUCAGAUGCUAGCGUAUGGUUUGGUAAAGCAGACUCCUGUAUCUUUUCCAUUAUCCAAAACCAUUUCCAUGCACAGUGCAGUAUAGACCUUGCAACCCUUAUGCACCCAAGGAGAAUUAGAGAAGGCAAAAAUACUUUAGCCUAUUAAGCAGCCUCACAUAGACCAAAGACUAUAUUUUCUGUUCUCUUCUCAUGCUUUUUAUGUACCUGAAUUUUAAAGUCCACAAGCAUUGCCUUAAAAUAUCAGGUGUCCUCAGAAUUCCAUACUUGGGCUAAUUUAUAAGUGGCAAUGUCUUUGUUGUCAUUCUAGAAGCCAGCAGGGUAGACAAUGGGGUUCUUCUGUGAAUCUGAAGACACAAGCAGUGUUGGGAGCUAGAGUGAAGAAGGGAACUAAGAAUGAGAUUCCAGAAACACAACCUAGAUGACGAGGUGCUCCUCAGAGUGUGGUAUGAUACACAUAGCCUAUAGCAUUACUAUUACAUAUUUUAUCAGCCAAAGUUGAAAGAAAAUUUUAGUGUCUCUGAUGACUUACAAACUCAUACUGAAAAAAAUUAAAUCAGACCAAUACUCAUUUUAAGCAUUUUUGCAGAUUAAAUGCAAGAUGAGUGUUCUAGGAUACAUUAGAAGAGAAAAUGGGUGUAGGUAAAAGAUGCUUGUGGCUGGAGAGAUGUCUAAAUCAGUGUGUGAUCACCCUGUCAGCACCCACAUACAAAGGCAGGGACAGCAGCAGGCACCUCUAACCCCAGUACUGGGGAGGCAGAGUCAGGAAGAUGUCUGAGGCUUACUGGACAGUCAUUCUAGCCAAGUUGUUGAGCCCCGAGUUAAUGAGACUCUGUCUCAAAAAAUAUGGUAAAGAACAAUUAAGGAAGACACCCAAUGUAAACUUUUCCACUCUUACAUGUAUACAUGUGCACACACCCUCAUGAAUACAA
This is a non-coding RNA of Cricetulus griseus (Chinese hamster), 13526 nucleotides long. The record is from RefSeq and is a predicted model, not a curated record. Lineage: Eukaryota; Metazoa; Chordata; Mammalia; Rodentia; Cricetidae.